This 877-nucleotide long non-coding RNA is filed under the name Ananas comosus (pineapple). Its description in RNAcentral is "long non-coding RNA (ACOM_LNC007449)". Lineage: Eukaryota; Viridiplantae; Streptophyta; Magnoliopsida; Poales; Bromeliaceae. The record is from RNAcentral.
UCUAGAAAAUAUUGAACAAUUAGGCUUCGAUCUUGAGACUUCGAAUACCAAUAAUUAAACCCUUAAUUAAUUGCGCUAAGUACCAAUUACUUAAUUUUAUGGCCUUUCUGAGUGUCAUAAUUAGUGAUAACUUAUUUGAUAUAAAAAUUUUUUAUUGUAGUUAAAUGUUACGAGUUUGAUUUUUGUAAAAACUAAUUUUAUAAUCUAUAUCUUAUGCAACAUUUGAUUACACUUCUUAUCGACCAAAUACUACAAACUUCAUAAGUAAAUUAAAAUAUAUAUAUAUAUACUGAACAACAUGUUCAUAUAUCCUAUUUCUAGCUAGCUAAGUACCUUUCUAAAAAAUAAUAAUAAUAAACUAAGCAGAUAAUACUCUACCAUUCUCUAAAAAAUAUAUAAUAAAUUUACUUAUGAAAACAAUAAUAAUUUUAAAGGGUAAAAAUACAGUUCAUCAGGCAUGUUAGACAGUUGAUCACGCUAAGUAAUUGAGGCUCUCAAAAGAGUAUACAGAACAAAAUAUUCAUGUGUACUAGACUAGAUAUACUUAUAGAAAAAACUUUAAAUACCAUCUUUAUCCGGCGGUGCAAAGUUUCUCACUUUAGUAUCCAAUAGUUUAAAAUAUCUUUAAUAUCCCGUUGUUUCGUUUCUCUCUUUUCGUCCCCGUCUAUGGUUUAUCAAAUAUUCACUAUAAUACUCUGUGGUUUAGUAAAUUUUAUUUUAGUACCCUAUGGUUAUAAUUGUCUCACUGAUUUAACAAAAAAAAUUAACAAAGAGGAUAACGGAAAGAGAAAAAUAAAACCAUGGAGUAUUAAAGUGGUACACUUUAAACUACAGGGUACGAAAGUGAGAAAAUACGAAACCACGGGGUUGUAUUUGG